This is a long non-coding RNA of Acinonyx jubatus (cheetah), 1130 nucleotides long. RefSeq lists it as uncharacterized. The transcript has 3 exons. The record is from RefSeq and is a predicted model, not a curated record. Lineage: Eukaryota; Metazoa; Chordata; Mammalia; Carnivora; Felidae.
CCCGCGGCGCCGCGGCCAAGCUGUAGACCAGGAAGAAGCGGAACUGGAAGCGGAUCCUGUCGCCGGGGGCCGCCGCCCGCAUCCAGAGCCCGCAGUCGGUGUCCGGGGCCACGAAGUAGAACCUGCGCGAGGCGGCGUGAGAGCGCAGCAGCAGCCCGUCCCCCUGCCACGUCUGCCCGCAGAGGUCCACCAGGUCGGCUGCAGGGAAAAGCACGGAUUCGGGAACCGCGCGACCUGGUUCUGAGCCCUGCCCGCUGUGUGACCCCCAAUUUGUUUAUUUUGAGAGAGAGAGCACGAGCAGGGGAGGGGCAGAGAGAGAGGGAGACACAGAAUCCGAAGCAGGCUCCAGGCUCCGAGCUGUCAGUGCAGAGCCCGACGACGCAGGGCUGGAAAUCAGGAACUGUGAGAUCAUGAUGUGAGUUUAACCAGCUGAGCCACCCAGGCGCCCCCCCCUCAAUUUCUUAUUCAAAAACUCUAGGAUUCAUUUCAGAAUUUUCCAGAGUUUAGAAAGAUAUGGUGGUGUAUAUGCAGGAUAUUGACCUCCAUGAUCAAACGCAUUUGCUAGAGCAGGUGUAAGGAUACAUAACCCUAAGCAGGGCAAAUGAAGACAAGAAACAGCCCCCUGUCGGUUCAAGUCAGGAAGUCCCAGUAAAUUAGUUAAGAAGGAAUUUCAGUUUUCAGAGCUUUUCAUAGUUUGCAGUUGAAACUAAAGGACUGUGGACAUGUAAGCAUUCGGUGCUCAGGACAGUGCUUGGCAUUUGAGUGUCACCCACGUUAGCUAUAAUUAGCAUCUUAUUGGAGGAGGGAGCAGACACAGACUUUUCCUGUUGCUCCUUGCUAGAAGAAUCUUAGUAUCUCUCAGCUGCCAGGGAGCAACGUACCAGCCUUCCUGGCCAUUGGCCUAAACCAGGUUUUGUGAUCCUAAUUCUAUUUGCAGGGUUUAGGGAUUGGUAUGUGACCUGAUUCUGGCCAAUGAGAUUGAAGGUUUGCUGAGGGCUCCUGAGAAAGGAUUUCCUCUCUGAUUAAACAAAAAGAAGAAGGAAGAAAAGGGGCACCUGGGUGACUCAGUUGGUUAAGCGUCUGACUUCGGCCCAGGUCAUGAUCUCACGGUUCGUGGGUUUGAACCCCCC